RNAcentral lists this long non-coding RNA (349 nucleotides) under Erythranthe guttata (spotted monkey flower). Its description in RNAcentral is "long non-coding RNA (EGUT_LNC002455)". Lineage: Eukaryota; Viridiplantae; Streptophyta; Magnoliopsida; Lamiales; Phrymaceae. The record is from RNAcentral.
GUUUUGUUUUUUUCCUUAACUGACUUUCCAAUACUCUUAGGCCCCGUUUGGUUGCCAAGAUAGUGUGUGUCAGUCACUAUGCAUAUAAUGUUAUAUUAUGCAACCAGGGAUCGGAAGCAAAUACUAGGUUCGAUCAACUUUACUUAUAAGAUAGAAAGAAACGUAUGGACAUGCGCUCGUUAUAAUACGAAUAUCUGCGGAACAAGAGCGAGUUGUGAACCACAAGUUAUGGAUUGGCCUUGGAGCAAUAUGUUGAUUAAUUUCGAACAAUUUUUGUCUCAUAGAUGAGAUUCUGUUGGCAUCUCAUUUAUAUACGUAUAUUUGUUUAAUUUGUUGAAUUUAAUAUGGA